AGGGUCUGUUGGGGCGUGAGGAGUGGGGACCCGCAGCCCCGCAGCACUGCUCCAGCAGCAGAAUUUUAUGGAUGUGCAGCACAAAAGGAAGAAAAGGACGGAUGGGAGGAAAAGGCUUUAUGCACUGCAGCAGGGCUGUGUUUUUGUGUGGUGUAUGCAUACGUGUGUGCCCGUGUGCAGGCAUUCAUGUGGAUGCUCUGCACAGCCACGUAAGCUGAGUUGCCCCCAUGGAUUAAACACACGGAUAUCCUCUGCUUCACGGAAAACAACCCAACAAUUUAUGUGCCAGGGGUGCUAAAGCACGAGGUGCUACCAUCCUGCUGCUAACCACUCCUGGGGAACAGGCCCUGCAAACCCAAGGUGACACGUGUGACACUGAUCACUCGGAACCACAGGACACCUCUGAGGAGUUGAUCUGCACUGCUCGCUACCUCGACUGCUCCAGUGUCCCUCUGCCUCACAGGGACACAGAAAAAAAUAAAAUGAUUUGAGUGUUUU
This 498-nucleotide long non-coding RNA is filed under the name Gallus gallus (chicken). RNAcentral's name for it is "long non-coding RNA NONGGAT003382". Lineage: Eukaryota; Metazoa; Chordata; Aves; Galliformes; Phasianidae. The record is from RNAcentral.